GACAAAAUGAAGGAAAAGGCUCUCUGUGCCCUCCACCACCAGAGGCCUGUUACCAAGCUGGGCGCUCUGCACAUACCAUUCAUUUGGAGAUCUGUUUUUGAUGAUGACUUUCCCUUGCUCCGUCGUCUCCCACUGCCAGACCCAGUCACACCACGGCUAGUGUUACUUUAAAGAUAUUUUCUUCAAGGUCCAGGGAGGUGGAAGCAGGAGGAUCACAAGUUCCUGAUUCAUCUUCUCCUCUAUGGAUGGUGUCAUCUGGACCAGAAAAGGCACGGGGCAAGCUCUUCUAAGAGGAAUGGGAUGGAACAGUGGGCAUCAGAGCCUGGGAAGACUGUGAGACUGAUGGGACAACAAAGAGAAAUCCAAUUAAGAGGAAGAAAAGAGGAAAAAUUAUGUUUUGUAUAUACCAUGGUAG
This is a non-coding RNA of Peromyscus maniculatus bairdii (prairie deer mouse), 415 nucleotides long. The record is from RefSeq and is a predicted model, not a curated record. NCBI's taxonomy places the organism in Eukaryota, Metazoa, Chordata, Mammalia, Rodentia, Cricetidae.